GACGAACGCUGGCGGCGUGCCUAACACAUGCAAGUCGAGCGAGUGAAUCUCCUUCGGGAGUGAAGCUAGCGGCGGACGGGUGAGUAACACGUGGGCAACCUGCCUCAUAGAGGGGAAUAGCCUUUCGAAAGGAAGAUUAAUACCGCAUAAGAUUGUAGCUUCGCAUGAAGUAGCAAUUAAAGGAGCAAUCCGCUAUGAGAUGGGCCCGCGGCGCAUUAGCUAGUUGGUGAGGUAACGGCUCACCAAGGCGACGAUGCGUAGCCGACCUGAGAGGGUGAUCGGCCACAUUGGGACUGAGACACGGCCCAGACUCCUACUGGAGGCAGCAGUGGGGAAUACUGCACAAUGGGGGAAACCCUGAUGCAGCAACGCCGCGUGAGUGAUGACGGCCUUCGGGUUGUAAAGCUCUGUCUUCAGGGACGAUAAUGACGGUACCUGAGGAGGAAGCCACGGCUAACUACGUGCCAGCCGCCGCCGUAA
This 480-nucleotide ribosomal RNA is filed under the name uncultured bacterium. Its description in RNAcentral is "partial 16S ribosomal RNA". It matches the Rfam family "Bacterial small subunit ribosomal RNA", at positions 28 to 523 of the family's 1533-position model. The record is from RNAcentral.